This 481-nucleotide ribosomal RNA is filed under the name uncultured bacterium. RNAcentral's name for it is "partial 16S ribosomal RNA". It matches the Rfam family "Bacterial small subunit ribosomal RNA", at positions 29 to 507 of the family's 1533-position model. The record is from RNAcentral.
AUGAACGCUGGCGGCGUGCCUCAUACCUGCAAGUCGAACGCUUCACUUCGGUGAAGAGUGGCGAACGGGUGAGUAAUACAUAAGUAACCUGGCAUCUACAGGGGGAUAACUGAUGGAAACGUCAGCUAAGACCGCAUAGGUGUAGAGAUCGCAUGAACUCUAUAUGAAAAGUGCUACGGGACUGGUAGAUGAUGGACUUAUGGCGCAUUAGCUUGUUGGUAGGGUAACGGCCUACCAAGGCGACGAUGCGUAGCCGACCUGAGAGGGUGACCGGCCACACUGGGACUGAGACACGGCCCAGACUCCUACGGGAGGCAGCAGUAGGGAAUUUUCGGCAAUGGGGGAAACCCUGACCGAGCAACGCCGCGUGAAGGAAGAAGUAAUUCGUUAUGUAAACUUCUGUCAUAGAGGAAGAACGGUGGAUAUAGGGAAUGAUAUCCAAGUGACGGUACUCUAUAAGAAAGCCACGGCUAACUACGUG